AGCGUACACGGUGGAUGCCCUGGCAGUCAGAGGCGAUGAAGGGCGUGCUAAUCUGCGAUAAGCGCCGGUAAGGUGAUAUGAACCGUUAUAACCGGCGAUACCCGAAUGGGGAAACCCAGUGUGACUCGUCACACUAUCAUUAACUGAAUCCAUAGGUUAAUGAGGCGAACCGGGGGAACUGAAACAUCUAAGUACCCCGAGGAAAAGAAAUCAACCGAGAUUCCCCCAGUAGCGGCGAGCGAACGGGGAGGAGCCCAGAGCCUGAAUCAGCAUGUGUGUUAGUGGAAGCGUCUGGAAAGGCGCGCGAUACAGGGUGACAGCCCCGUACACAAAAGCGCAUGUGCUGUGAGCUCGAUGAGUAGGGCGGGACACGUGGUAUCCUGUCUGAAUAUGGGGGGACCAUCCUCCAAGGCUAAAUACUCCUGACUGACCGAUAGUGAACCAGUACCGUGAGGGAAAGGCGAAAAGAACCCCGGCGAGGGGAGUGAAAAAGAACCUGAAACCGUGUACGUACAAGCAGUGGGAGCCCCACCACCAAAGCAUUCUCUGGUGUUGAAGGCCCUGCAAAGCAGCAUCGCGGUGGCGGAGCGUCGUUUGCGACGCCCAACACACAAAACAAGCGGUGAGUGCUUUGGGGUGGGGUGACUGCGUACCUUUUGUAUAAUGGGUCAGCGACUUAUAUUCUGUAGCAAGGUUAACCGUAUAGGGGAGCCGGAGGGAAACCGAGUCUUAACCGGGCGUUAAGUUGCAGGGUAUAGACCCGAAACCCGGUGAUCUAGCCAUGGGCAGGUUGAAGGUUGGGUAACACUAACUGGAGGACCGAACCGACUAAUGUUGAAAAAUUAGCGGAUGACCUGUGGCUGGGGGUGAAAGGCCAAUCAAACCGGGAGAUAGCUGGUUCUCCCCGAAAGCUAUUUAGGUAGCGCCUCGUGAAUUCAUCUCCGGGGGUAGAGCACUGUUUCGGCUAGGGGGCCAUCCCGGCUUACCAACCCGAUGCAAACUGCGAAUACCGGAGAAUGUUAUCACGGGAGACACACGGCGGGUGCUAACGUCCGUCGUGAAGAGGGAAACAACCCAGACCGCCAGCUAAGGUCCCAAAGUCAUGGUUAAGUGGGAAACGAUGUGGGAAGGCCCAGACAGCCAGGAUGUUGGCUUAGAAGCAGCCAUCAUUUAAAGAAAGCGUAAUAGCUCACUGGUCGAGUCGGCCUGCGCGGAAGAUGUAACGGGGCUAAACCAUGCACCGAAGCUGCGGCAGCGACGCUUAUGCGUUGUUGGGUAGGGGAGCGUUCUGUAAGCCUGUGAAGGUGGCCUGUGAGGGUUGCUGGAGGUAUCAGAAGUGCGAAUGCUGACAUAAGUAACGAUAAAGCGGGUGAAAAGCCCGCUCGCCGGAAGACCAAGGGUUCCUGUCCAACGUUAAUCGGGGCAGGGUGAGUCGACCCCUAAGGCGAGGCCGAAAGGCGUAGUCGAUGGGAAACGGGUUAAUAUUCCCGUACUUGGUGUUACUGCGAAGGGGGGACGGAGAAGGCUAUGUUGGCCGGGCGACGGUUGUCCCGGUUUAAGCGUGUAGGUGUGUGUUCCAGGUAAAUCCGGUUCACUUUAACACUGAGGCGUGACGACGAGGCACUACGGUGCUGAAGCAACAAAUGCCCUGCUUCCAGGAAAAGCCUCUAAGCAUCAGGUAACAUCAAAUCGUACCCCAAACCGACACAGGUGGUCAGGUAGAGAAUACCAAGGCGCUUGAGAGAACUCGGGUGAAGGAACUAGGCAAAAUGGUGCCGUAACUUCGGGAGAAGGCACGCUGACACGUAGGUGAAGUGAUUUACUCAUGGAGCUGAAGUCAGUCGAAGAUACCAGCUGGCUGCAACUGUUUAUUAAAAACACAGCACUGUGCAAACACGAAAGUGGACGUAUACGGUGUGACGCCUGCCCGGUGCCGGAAGGUUAAUUGAUGGGGUCAGCGCAAGCGAAGCUCCUGAUCGAAGCCCCGGUAAACGGCGGCCGUAACUAUAACGGUCCUAAGGUAGCGAAAUUCCUUGUCGGGUAAGUUCCGACCUGCACGAAUGGCGUAAUGAUGGCCAGGCUGUCUCCACCCGAGACUCAGUGAAAUUGAACUCGCUGUGAAGAUGCAGUGUACCCGCGGCAAGACGGAAAGACCCCGUGAACCUUUACUAUAGCUUGACACUGAACAUUGAGCCUUGAUGUGUAGGAUAGGUGGGAGGCUUUGAAGUGUGGACGCCAGUCUGCAUGGAGCCGACCUUGAAAUACCACCCUUUAAUGUUUGAUGUUCUAACGUGGACCCGUGAUCCGGGUUGCGGACAGUGUCUGGUGGGUAGUUUGACUGGGGCGGUCUCCUCCUAAAGAGUAACGGAGGAGCACGAAGGUUGGCUAAUCCUGGUCGGACAUCAGGAGGUUAGUGCAAUGGCAUAAGCCAGCUUGACUGCGAGCGUGACGGCGCGAGCAGGUGCGAAAGCAGGUCAUAGUGAUCCGGUGGUUCUGAAUGGAAGGGCCAUCGCUCAACGGAUAAAAGGUACUCCGGGGAUAACAGGCUGAUACCGCCCAAGAGUUCAUAUCGACGGCGGUGUUUGGCACCUCGAUGUCGGCUCAUCACAUCCUGGGGCUGAAGUAGGUCCCAAGGGUAUGGCUGUUCGCCAUUUAAAGUGGUACGCGAGCUGGGUUUAGAACGUCGUGAGACAGUUCGGUCCCUAUCUGCCGUGGGCGCUGGAGAACUGAGGGGGGCUGCUCCUAGUACGAGAGGACCGGAGUGGACGCAUCACUGGUGUUCGGGUUGUCAUGCCAAUGGCACUGCCCGGUAGCUAAAUGCGGAAGAGAUAAGUGCUGAAAGCAUCUAAGCACGAAACUUGCCCCGAGAUGAGUUCU
This 2877-nucleotide ribosomal RNA is filed under the name Salmonella enterica subsp. enterica serovar Weltevreden. RNAcentral describes it as "bacterial LSU rRNA". It matches the Rfam family "Bacterial large subunit ribosomal RNA". The record is from RNAcentral. Lineage: Bacteria; Pseudomonadati; Pseudomonadota; Gammaproteobacteria; Enterobacterales; Enterobacteriaceae.